Molecule: long non-coding RNA, 1318 nt
Organism: Meriones unguiculatus (Mongolian gerbil)
Lineage: Eukaryota; Metazoa; Chordata; Mammalia; Rodentia; Muridae
Exons: 3
Source: RefSeq, a predicted model, not a curated record
CCUGGGUUGGCUACCCAGAGGCUAUUUAAGCUGUGGGCUGGCUUUCCCCAGGGUCAGAGGAUUGUUCAAGGUUCCUGAAUAAACUGCAUUGAAAAAAAAAAAAAAAGAAAAAAAAGAAAAAGCAGGAGCCAGCAGACCCCUCUGGCACUCACAGCAGCAGGGUUGUGACUAGCCAGGCAUCGCCAUUGCUUUUCCGGCACACUUACUCAAGCCUUGGCAUAUUCCUUUGGAAGGAGGGAAGGCACCCAUUUCCUUACCCCCAAGGCUCUGUGCCUUGUAUUCAAUUAUCGCUUUCUCUUCCAUGAUCACUAUCAUUUCCAUCUUACAGAGUUGAACACCAAGGCACAGAGAAACCAAGGUACCCACUGUCAUGGCUGAUGAGUGAUGCUUUCAGCAGGAUAUGCUUCCCUGCCCCUCCCCAGGACAUUCAUCUUGCUGCUAGUUUUUGUUUCCCUGAACAUUCGUGAUUGGCUGUGUUGUGCUACUGUAUGACCAUUCAUCCUUAUUUUCCAGCGACAAGGACAGUAUCCUUUGACAAUUAGGGGCAAACAUAAAAAUAGCAUGAUUUAUAGACAAAAGUGCCAAAGGAGGGGGACAAAAGUCCCUCGUCUCCUCCAUGAUGUUAAUUCACAGGCCCUCUGACAAAGUCAGGAAAUACAGAAGGAAACAAUGUAUAAUGUAGAAGGGCAAUUCUAGGUUAAAGUGAGGAAGAGGCAACAAGGUUGGGGUAGCAUGAGGGGGACUGUUUUGGCACAUAACAUGAGUAGGCCCAGCUGCAGAAAACGUGACGUUAAUGAAGGACACGGUUCAAAUCCCACAUAACCCUGUGUGUCUGUGUGUCGUAAAGGGGAAGUCUUAAUCUCAGCGUUCACUGCUGGGAAAAGAGCAGGGAGAGGAUAGAGGGAGAUAUGCAACAGCGUGGGUGUGUUAGGGCAGCUUGCCACACUAGAACGGUUAUGAAACUUAAGUGCGUGCAUGAUUCGUAUCCUUCAGAUAUUCAGAGGCCCCCCACUUAGUAGGGUUUGACUUAGAAAUUUUUUGACUUUAUAAAAAGAAGCCAAAAGUAAUAUCCAUCCCAGCAGAAAUCACACUUUAAAAUUUGAAUUUUAACCUUUUCACAGGCCUGAAACAUGCAGUAACAGGAUGCCAGGCAGCAGAAGGGGCAGAGCUAGACUGCCGUCCAUGGUCACAGGCAUCUGCAACAUUGGAGUACUCUGCUCAUGGUAGCUCUUCACUGUGAGAAGCUGAAGAAUUUGGUUGGAAAGUAGUUCCCAUUACAUAACUCUUAACCUAGUUAUGCAUGAAAGAGGUAAGAGGA